This is a long non-coding RNA of Rosa chinensis, 915 nucleotides long. RefSeq lists it as uncharacterized. The transcript is spliced from 2 exons. Lineage: Eukaryota; Viridiplantae; Streptophyta; Magnoliopsida; Rosales; Rosaceae. The record is from RefSeq and is a predicted model, not a curated record.
GAGAAUGUAGCCUCGCCUGUAGUCAACAGUCAUGGAUUGGCUUUUUGGAGACGAUGACAAAGUUAAGAAAUGAGAUCCAGAGAUAUCAAACUCCAAUUCAACUAGUGAAAAUGUUAAGAAUGGGAAUGGAGGUGUAGCUAUUCCACAAGUUGGUGCUGGGGAACUUAGUGGGCAUAAGCAUCAACUGAGAGAAGUUGUGAAGCUGAAAUCCACUCAGAAAUUGGGUAUUCAUUGCCACCAAUGUUCUCCUGUUACUGAGUGUUCUAGUCAUGCAAAACUGGAUUCAAUCAGAGAUCGAAAGAGCUCUAGAGGCAGAUUUGGAGAUAAAUAUUAGUGUUUCUACUACACCAAGUCGGAAAAAGAACAGAGAUAUUUUUGUCCCUAGAACUCCAAAGAAUCUUAUCAAUAAGUCUGAUAUGAAAGGAAAACUUCAGUGCCAGAAAGAGUGAACCAGUAACAAACAUCACUUCAGUAAAACCUCUGCAUGACAGGCGAGCAUUGGAGGAUCUCCAAAACAAGUAAAUUUACUGCUCAUCUGUCUUUGCUCCCAUUGGCUGUGCACUCUAUUUUUGAAACAGAAGCAUAUCUCAUGCAGGGUUUUAUGGAAGUCUUUUGCCCAUUUACCAUGUUAGAUGUAGAUGAAUAUGUCGACUUAUUGAGCACAGUUCAAAUGUAACUAUGGUGUAGAAGUGUGUGGACAUGCAAUGAAAUGCAAUAUGUUAAUAUGAGAUUCUCAUGUGUGAAUUUUGGAUGCAAAACUUUGGACCUUUCCAGAACAUGAUGUGAAGGUUCACUGGUUCAGUGCCCUUGAUUCCUGAUGUAAUGUUUGUCUGAACAGCUAAUACAACCAUAUGUUGGUGUUGACAUUUCUUCUGUGUUUCCACGAAAUGAAUAUGCAACGCAAUAUAUCUUUCA